This 1023-nucleotide long non-coding RNA is filed under the name Phasianus colchicus (ring-necked pheasant). RNAcentral's name for it is "lncRNA (ENSPCLG00000007801.1)". Lineage: Eukaryota; Metazoa; Chordata; Aves; Galliformes; Phasianidae. The record is from RNAcentral.
AUGCUUCUCCGGCUUUUGGGAGCAGCACACGCUCGCAGCCGAGCGCAGAGCGGAUGCGGUUCCCGGGCGCCGGGAAGGCAGGCGGGCUGCGGCAGCGAGCCCUUUGUUCCGGGCAUCCCGCGGGCUCAGCGCUGCGGCUCCGGCUGCUCGGUGCGGGAGAGCGGCGGCCGGCAGCCCCUCACGCGGCCUCUCCCGGCCCCGGCGCAGCGGAACGCGGGGCGAACGGCCGCUCCGACCCCCCUCCCCCCCGACGCGGCGGACGACCGAGUCACCUCCCCUGCCGGGCGCGGGGAAGGGGAGCCCCGGCGGGGUGGGACGAGUCGGAUCGCGGCCCGCGAUGCCUCACCGAGCCCGGCCAGCCGCUCCACCAGCCCCGCGGCGCGGAGAGUAGCGGGGCCGUGGUCCACUCCGCGCCGUUUCUGUCAGACAAAGAAAAAAGGAGCGUUAGCGAGCGCCGCCCGGCUGCGGCCCCCCGGCCCGGCCCGGCCCGGCGCCCACCUGUCCCCUGGAGAACGGGGCGCCCACCAGCGCCACCGAGUGCGCCCGCCGGGGCAGCCGCAGCCCCAACCCCGCGUCCGCCCGCUUGCGGAGGAGCCGCGCGAAGCCGCCGCGCAGAGCCAUGGCGCAGAUGACACCGAGCCGGCGGAUGAUGCCCACCGCCGCCGCGCCGCUCCUUUUAGCCGGCUCCAGCUCCGCGCGCGCCGCCGGGCCCCGCCCCCGCCCGCACACCCCCGGGCCGCCCGGCCAAUGGCGGCGCGCGCGCGCGGAGGUGUGUCCCGCCCACAGAGCGCAGCGGGGCCUUCGCGCGACGCGGGCGGGCGGCGGCUCCUCCUCGCGCUGUCGCGGCGCUGGGGUUUUUCCACUCCCGCAGCGGGGGGCUCGCGCACCUGCCCCGGGCGCCGUGCUCCGGCCCGAGGCGCGGCGUGGGGGCGUGGCGACCUAAGAGCGGGAGCCGGCACUCGCGUACUGCCGAAGCUCGCACGGACGGGCUCGAGUUCCUACGCGCAAACGCACGUGCCUUGA